AAUCUACCGGAUGCUCGACCUUUGGAGACUUACUCGCCUGUAGUAGAAGGAGUAAACGUAUUCUAUGGAGAAGAAAAAUCAAUAAGUUGGGGGUGUUUUAGGAAUGCUCAUGCAGAAGGCAGUCAUAGAUGAAGGAACCGCGCUACCUAUGGGGUAAAAAUGCGGGAAAAAUAAAGGGAUAAGAGAUCUACCGCACGGAUAAAGAUCCGUAGUAACAACAAUU
This 223-nucleotide long non-coding RNA is filed under the name Lathyrus oleraceus (garden pea). RNAcentral describes it as "Pisum sativum (pea) long non-coding RNA (PSAT_LNC021884)". Lineage: Eukaryota; Viridiplantae; Streptophyta; Magnoliopsida; Fabales; Fabaceae. The record is from RNAcentral.